UGCCUAACACAUGCAAGUCGAACGGAGUAUCAGGGCUUGCUCUGAUACUUAGUGGCGCACGGGUGAGUAACACGUGGGAAUCUGCCCCAGAGUACGGGAUAACUAUUGGAAACGAUAGCUAAUACCGUAUAUUGCCGAGAGGUGAAAGAUUCAUCGCUCUGGGAUGAGCCCGCGUCUGAUUAGGUAGUUGGUGGGGUAAUGGCCCACCAAGCCGACGAUCAGUAGCUGGUCUGAGAGGACGACCAGCCACACUGGAACUGAGACACGGUCCAGACUCCUACGGGAGGCAGCAGUGGGGAAUAUUGGACAAUGGGCGAAAGCCUGAUCCAGCGACGCCGCGUGAAUGAUGAAGGCCUUAGGGUUGUAAAGUUCUUUUGGCAGGGACGAUAAUGACGGUACCUGCAGAAUAAGCCCCGGCAAACUCUGUGCCAGCAGCCGCGGUAAGACAGAGGGGGCUAGCGUUGUUCGGAAUUACUGGGCGUAAAGGGCGCGUAGGCGGUCUUGUAAGUUAGAAGUGGAAUCCUGAGGCUCAACCUCAGAACUGCUUUUAAUACUGCUUGACUAGAGUCCGGUAGAGGAUAGUGGAAUACCCAGUGUAGCGGUGAAAUGCGUAGAUAUUGGGUGGAACACCGAUGGCGAAGGCAGCUAUCUGGUCCGGAACUGACGCUGAGGCGCGAAAGCGUGGGGAGCAAACAGGAUUAGAUACCCUGGUAGUCCACGCCCUAAACGAUGAGUGCUAGAUGUUGGAAGCUUAGUCUUUCAGUGUCGCAGCUAACGCGUUAAGCACUCCGCCAGGGGAGUACGGCCGCAAGGUUAAAACUCAAAGGAAUUGACGGGGACCCGCACAAGCGGUGGAGCAUGUGGUUUAAUUCGAGGCAACGCGAAGAACCUUACCACCCCUUGACAUGCUAGGGGAGUCUUUCAGAGAUGAUUGACGCCACUUCGGUGGCCCUAGCACAGGUGCUGCAUGGCUGUCGUCAGCUCGUGUCGUGAGAUGUUGGGUUAAGUCCCGCAACGAGCGCAACCCUCAUCCUCUGUUGCUAACAGGUUAUGCUGAGAACUCUGAGGAAACUGCCGGUGAUAAGCCGGAGGAAGGUGGGGACGACGUCAAGUCAUCAUGGCCCUUACGGGGUGGGCUACACACGUGCUACAAUGGCGGCUACAACGGGCUGCGAAGUCGCGAGACGGAGCAAAUCCUUCAAAAGCCGCCUCAGUUCGGAUUGCACUCUGCAACUCGAGUGCAUGAAGUCGGAAUCGCUAGUAAUCGCGCAUCAGCAUGGCGCGGUGAAUACGUUCCCGGGUCUUGUACACACCGCCCGUCACACCAUGGGAGUUGACUUUACCUUAAGCCGGUGAGCUAACCGCAAGGAGGCAGCCGACCACGGUAGGGUCAGUGACUGGGGUGAAGUCGUAACAAGGUAAC
This 1423-nucleotide ribosomal RNA is filed under the name uncultured Alphaproteobacteria bacterium. RNAcentral's name for it is "bacterial SSU rRNA". It matches the Rfam family "Bacterial small subunit ribosomal RNA". Lineage: Bacteria; Pseudomonadati; Pseudomonadota; Alphaproteobacteria. The record is from RNAcentral.